Molecule: non-coding RNA, 12140 nt
Organism: Rattus norvegicus (Norway rat)
Lineage: Eukaryota; Metazoa; Chordata; Mammalia; Rodentia; Muridae
Source: RefSeq, a predicted model, not a curated record
CAGGGGUGGGCAGUGUUGGUGGUCUCCUCCGCUCUGCAGCCUCAGGAGUGCCCACCUGAUCAGGAGGUGAGGUCUCUCUCCCACGGGGUUUGGGAGCAGAGAGCUGCUGCGGGCCGGGAUCCGCGGGUGUGGGACUUCCGGUAAACACAGGAAGUGCCCGGUCCUAGAGGAAUUUUGCCUCUGUGUGUCCUGAGUUCACCAGGCAGGUUUCUUGCAGGGGAAAAGUUGGUCCUACCUGCGGUUCCAAGGCUCAAGUUUGCUCGUGGGGUACUGCCUAAGUCCUCUCCGCUGUGGCAGCAACCAGGAAGAUCUGCGCCGCUCUUUCCGGGAGCCUCCGUGCACCAGGGUUCCAGAUGGCGUUUGGUGUUUUCCUCUGGCGUCUGGAUGUGCACAGAGUGCAGUCUCUUCUGGUUUCCCAGGCGUGUCUGCCUCUCUGAAGGUUUAGCUCUCCCUCCUACGGGAUUUGGGUGCAGAGAACUGUUUAUCCGGUCUGUUUCCUUCAGGUUCCGGCGGUGUCUCCCUGACUUCUCUUUUAACUCAUUUUCUCUUUCUUCUUGAAACUCUUAGUGUUCCAAGAUGGUAUCAAUCUUGAAAUCCCUUGCUCUACUGAAUUAAGCAUUAAGCAUUUUUAAAUCCUAUUUGUUCCCACAUUCCUAACCCAUUUAUCUGUCCCUCUUGAUGUGAUUCCAUCUCCCUGAAUCACCUGGAUCAAACGGCCUUCCACAUGCAAAGCGCCAAGUAUGGCUGCUGUCUUUACGCCUGGUACUCUUUGGAGUUUGUGCAUCCUUCCUGGUGCUCUUUAUGGCCCUAGGCCAUUUUUCCUAACUUCUUUUUCUUUCCCCAGUCUUCUUCCCAUCAUCAGUGGCUGUCAGUCCUAAUGCAGUGAACCACAGGGGUUCUGGCCUUGGUCUGUCUCUCUGGAUGCACAAGCUAAUUGACCAAUGUUUUUUUUAUUGCUAGUUCUGAUGUAGCUCUAGGUCUCUUCAAGUUUGGAUUUGAAAUGCAGAUGCUGAGCAACUAUGGCUGUGAAAUGGCUUGAGUUUCCUUUCUUGCUGUAAGAGGAAGGAUUUAUUUUGGCUCACGCUUUGAGAGAGUAUUCUUAUUCCUGGUACUUUCCGGGGCUUGCAUAUCCUUCCUGAGCCUCAUGCUGGGGAAGCCAUGGAGGCAGGCAUGUGAGGCAGCUGGUCACACUGCAUCUGCAGUCAGGAAGCAGAGUGAGAGAGAGAGAGAGAGGAAUUCUCCUCAUGCUCAGCUCUCUUUCUACUGUUUAUUCCGUUCAGGACCCCCGCCCACAGAAGGGUGGCGCUACAUUUAGGGUGGGUUCUCCCAUCUCCACUAACCAUUCUAGAAAGCUUCUCAUUGAGACCCCUGGAGGUGUCUCAGUUCUUCUGUCACUAGAUGUUGUGAAGCUGAUGAUCAAUCCUAACCCUCAGAGGGCUAAACGUGGGUCUCAGAAACAGGAAGUGCAGCAAAGGCUAGCAUUAACGGAGGGAUCGCUCCACUGGCCACCAAAGUGUCAUCUCAUUUAAGCCUUUGCUAUCUCAUUUAUUAUCAGUCAGGAAACAAGGCCUAGGGAGGAAGAAUAGAUCGCUGUUGGUUACUGUUAGUGAGUUUUGUAGCCAGCCUUUACGUCCUGGCCUUCUGGCACCUAAUGGCACUCUUUCUCAUGGUAUUGUGUUUCUUUUUCUUUAAAAACCAGAGGCAGACAGGUAGCUCUAAAACCUAGUUAGUCUAGCCCAUGUUACCUUUUGUGCCCUCUUCUGGCCAGGGUCCUAAUGGGAAGGCUGUGGCAGGGCCGUUAGGCUCAGCACACAGGCACACUGUCUCGAAUUAGCCUGGGUCAGCAGUUGCUGGCUUGGGUGUGAGCAGCCAUAUAAUGUCACGCAAUGUCAACCCUGAAAUACAUCUUGGGUAGGUUCCAGGGAGAUCCAGGGCCAACAGGACACCGAGAAAGCCAUGGGAAGUCUGGGAACCACUGUCGUCCCUUCCUGGAACCAAGAUACAGGGAUGUCAGGCAAAAGACCAGGACAAAGGGCGGAAGCUGGAGGCGGAAGCACAUCCUCUCUGAAGGCUCUACAUUCUUCUGCAACUCCCAAAACUACCUCAGCAGCUGGGAACCAAGCAGUCAAACACAUGGGCUGAUGGAGACCAUCUCAGGUCCAAGGCACAACAGGUGGCUUCAGUUCUGGCUGGAUCCAGGGAUCUCAGGUUCAGAGGUUCAGUCCAUUAUCAUGGCAGGAAGCAUGGCAGUGUCCAGGCUGGCAUGGCGCAGGAGAAGCUGAGAGUUCUGUAUCUUGUCAAACAAGAGAAACUGACUCCCAUGUGGCUAGGAGAAGGGUCUCAAAACCCACACCUACAGUGACACAUUUUCUCCAACAAGGCCACACCUACUCCAACAAGGCCACACCUCCUAGUAGUGCCCUUCCCUGGGCCAAGCAUAUAUAAACCAUCACAGAGUACUCCUGAGGAUCCCAAGCAGAGCUAUACAUUGUCUUUGCCAGCUGAGCCUGGAGUGAUGGCCCCACACAGAUGAUCAGUAUAAUAACUGACCAGGAAGAGCACACAGGCCCCGACGUCUCUAAACCUGGGAGACCUGCAGGAUUGUGCAAGAGCGACCUCUACUUGGGCCCAGAAAACAAGACAAACAGCUUCUUUUCCAUGCACUGUGACUGACUCAUUUUCUAAGAAGCCCAGCCAUUUUUUGGGUGGUUUGGAAACCAAUCCAGGACUGAGUGAAGCAAGGAAGACACAGAGCAGACGGCAGCAUCAUUGACCCCCACUUUACUCUCCAUAUAAAGCACAGAACUCAGCCCCUGAGCCUGGGGAUGGGACCAUCAUAAGACCCCCCCCCCCUUCUUCAUUCCAAUGUACUUGUCUGCCCAGACCCCCAGAGGUCACACUUAUAGACGAGCCUUAAUCAGGACAUUCUAAUCUGCCCAAGCCUUAGUUUGAGUCAUGAAUUAUUAAGGAGAUUCAAUAGAAGAGAGAAAGGACUUGCCUGCCACUGGGAUGCUUGAGUCUAAACCAUAUAGCCCUGUGUUCUACCAUUAUUUGGAAAGACGGGGUCCUUCGGAGUUUAGAAGGACUGUCCAUAAAGUAGAGCUCUUUUGAGUUGUUGCUGUGAGAACUGCGUAAGAGAAUACUUCUGCCCCUGCCACCCAUCACACACCUAGCAAAAGUAUUAGCUGCCUUCUCCUUCCUGGCUCAUUCCCUCAUGAGUGCCAAGAAGAGAUAUUUGGAUCUGAAGAUAUCAAAUUAUUUCAAGCACAAAUCUUUUCCAGGUUCCUGUUUUAGAAACUGGGAUCAGAAAACACAGCCUCUCAGGUUGUUAUGAGACUGACCGAGUCGACAUGAGUACUGUGCCAGCCCAGCUCCGGAAGUUCUCAGCUUUGUGGCUGGUUAUAAAUAGUUCUUCUCUGUGUGGGUGAUGCCUCCUUGGCUGGUGCUGUGUGUGCUGUGUGGUCAAGGCUGAACUGACUCACCCUGGAGUGACAGAUCUAGGUAGUGACACCCAAGGUAGCUGGGUAGAAAUAGCCGGGCUCUUUAUUAAAACCAAGAGACAGAUUGGAUGUUCUUGUGACAGGUGCCUUGGGGCUUUGAUAGGCCCAGAGAAGGAGAGGGGAGAUGCUUGUGGCUACCAAGUCAUAGGAAAAUGGGAUGCCCCUACAAUUUUCCUAGACAAAGAAACUUGUAGGGUGUGCUGUUUCUUUUAUGAGGACAUAGAUAAAUGGCAGCUGGGAAGAUACUCCUCCUUCUUGUGGGGACAAGGGGACUGGGCCGGGCAUCCUAGAGCCUGUUUCUGGCCAAGUCAGACAAUAUUUGAUUUCUUCCCAGGAAGUAGAGAAGAUGGGUGAGCCUCAAGCCCAGUGUACCUUCUAUAACUGUAUUCUUUACAAAAUUCUACAAGUGUGUGUGUGUGUGUGUGUGUGUGUGUGUGUGUGUGUGUGUGUGUGUAUCUGGGGCUGGGAGCUGGGAUGGGCACACAGCCCACUGGAUGUUCAGGAAGAGAGAGGUUCAAAGAAAGCUUGUGAAGGAGGCCACAUUUGAACAGAAUUGUAGGCAGAAAUCAGGGGAUAAAACAAGCAUCUCACUUCUCUAACUCCCCCUCAUUCUUUGAUCUCUACCAACAGAUUCCCACACAGUAUGAACCUACUUUCAUUGAGGUCAUCAUUGACCUUCUUAUGGUAAAUCCAAAGCUCCCCUUUAAACUAAAGGGAAUGUCCACUUGAUUUGAAGUUCACUUUUCUCUUGACUCCUGUUCUUUUCCUGCCUCUCUAGCUGUCUUUUUCCCAUUUCCAUUGUGACUUUAUCUGUUCUAUCUCCCUAACUAUUUACCUUCCAUCUAUCCAUCUCUCCUCCAUCUUUACAACAAAGAGACUUUAAUGGAAGCAAUGUUUACAGAGUGUGGAAGUUCCACAAGGUGGGACUAACACCACGGAACCAUCAGUAGCUUUGGGCCUGAAGACUGACUGUUUACUAGACUCCAGAAAUUUGAGGCUAGGGAAAGUAGCUUGGUGGUAGAAUGCUUACCUAGCAUGUACAAGGCCCUGGGUUCAAUUCCUGGUACCGUGGAAAUAAAAACGAAGGAACAAACUUCUAGAAAGUGAAGCUGUGAGGGGCUUCCUGUCAGGGGCUGAGCCUUUGGCAGAGGAACGAAACUACCUAGGGGGCAGCCUCCUUCCUUGACUUUCCUCCUCAUCCCUUCUGAGGUUCCCAACAUCAUAAAUGUGGGCUGCCUCUAAGCUAGAGCCCUCCUCUGAUUAUACACCCUUAUCCCAGAGACUCUUUCUUACGGCAGUGGCAAUGUAGCCCAUUUUCUUCUCUUCCAGCAACUGGAGUUGACCUGCCUUCUUCCUGGGCAUCUCUGUUUUUCAGACACCAUCAACUCAGGCAGUCCACAGGUCAUCAUGCCUUCCCCUCAUGCUGUCCCUUUCCUGUCUUCCUUUCUACUGUGGCUACCUUGUCCUUUGUCAUGGAUGAUGUCUUAUCAAGAAUCAUCUAACCUCUUCCAGCAACACUCUUGUCUCUGCUGGUAGGGGAACCAUCAGGGUUCUUUCUAAAAGAUCACCUCUAACAUCACUUUACUCCUACAAGUUUUUCUACUCAGCUCGUUACAUCCCAGAUGAUGACCUUGGCCUGGUGCUAUCUCUGCUCACCUCUGUUCACCUCCUCCCCUGUUUCCAUUCCCCCUCCUUGGCACCUGUGUACCCUUUACUCAGCUGGGUCAUUAGCAGAUCUCCCAGAUGCUUACAGGUUCAUGCUCUUGUGCCUUCUCACAGACCGGAACUUCCUCCCUUCACCUCCCACAGCAAAGGCCUCAGCCCUUCCUCAUCCCAUUGCACUCCUCCUUUCUGGAAAGCACUCCCACAGCCCAUGCUCAACAGGGGUUGCCUAGAGCCCAGGAUCUUCAUCUCUUCCUUUCUUUAGUUAUCUAGGUAAGUUCUCUGACCACCCCUUGCAUUUGGGACCCAGCAUUGGCUCUGUGUUUGCUGAGAGCAGGAACAUGUGGAGCCUCUACAUUACAAGGACAAGCAUGGUGUGGUGCCUUUCUCUAGGCCCUCAGUUGAGUUUUCAAUUUCUCUAAAAUUUCGCCUCCCUCUUCUAUCAACCUCACCUCCUAGGGCCCACUUCCCACUUCCGGUUCUAGCAACACUCAUCUGGCCUGGCACAGACACAUCCCACUCUUUCAAGCACCAAUUAUCCUGUGCUCAUGACUGAUUCCUCCACUCCCCACCCCCCACUUCAAUGGGGAGUGCCUCCUUGCUCUUCAAGGCCUGUGUCUGCAAGCUGGUUUCUGACAGGAAUGAUGCCUUGUCCCUGUGGAUCCUUAGGAAAGCUUGUCACCUCAUGCCGGAUGUGCUGUAGGAUGGGGGGAUGUGUAUGAUUAAGUUAACCAAAGUUUAAUGCAAUGCAAUACAGUCUUCUCUGUAAUAUGUAAUAUUAUAUAUGCUUCACUGCUUCACGCAUAUCAGCUGGUUUGAUUUGUGCAACAAUGCUAUAAAGAAAAUACUGUUAUUGUUCCCAUCUUAUGGUUUAUAACACUGAAGCACAGCAUGUUACUCACUUUUGUCACUGUGAUGAAUUACUUAAUAAGAAGCAGCAUAAGAAUUGGAGGGUUCCUUACGGUGGGAAGGCAUAGUGGUGGGAGAAUUCCCAAGGUGUUUGCUUACAUCUCCGAGUACCAGGGAGCAGAGAUGGGACAGGAAGUGGAGCCCGACUAUAAACAGAGGCAUAUGUCCUCCAGCUAGGCUCCACCUCCCCAAAGUUCCAUACCUUCUUCCAACAGAGCCACCAACAAGAACCAAUUGUUUAAACAUGUCUGAGGAGGUGGGGCAUUUGUCACUCAAACCCUAACUUAUGCAGAAGUUAGUUAAACUGUCCAAAGCUACAUGGCUAGAACAUUCCACAGAUAGGAUUUGAACCUAAGUAAUCUGGUUUUGCCAUGGGAACCUAAAACUGGGACUUAGACAGAGGGGUUUUGAUUAUCUCACUGUGGAGGGUGACCUUGACUUUGCAGACCUGGUAAGCUGUAGAAGGCCUUCAAGUUCUCGUAGUGGGUAGUCUUCAGGUGGCUUUGGAUUGUACUGUGUACACAGGAGAAGCUGUGGGAUUGGGGUAGGGACCACUCCCUGGGUCCUAGUAGUAGAAGGGUGGUUUCCUCUUUUAUCAAAUUUGUGAGUAGGAGAAGACAAUCAGUUGUUUGGCAUUUUCCUCCCUUUCCUGGAAGUGCCAAUGCUGGGUGAAGAGAAGCUUUAAGAAGCUCUGUGGGUGGCUAGAAACAUCUGGCAUGGGGUUUGCUAAGCAACUCCAGAGAUCUGCCUUCUGGAGAAGCCUGAGAACUGGCCUGGCCUUCUUUGCCAGUAAAGGACAUGGCUUCCUUAAAACACUUGUAUCCUGUGCCUUCCAGUCUUCUCCUGGUUGGCCUUGAGUGGUGAGUGUGAACACUUAGAAUAUUAUCAAAGCCAGACAGUAUUUGCUAUGGGCUCUCUCUGUGGACCCUGGGACCAGCCACUAGACACUUUGACUUGGCAUUUUGGAUAUUCCCAACCUGAUCUUUAAUGAGUCUAAUUUACUGUGUGGAUGACCAUGAGAACAGAAGGAAGGAGGGAAGUUGAGAUGUAUUGUAGGCUGAAUUUAUGAAUUUCAAAUAAUCUAUUGAAGUCAGAAUCCCCAUGGCCUCAGAAUGUACCCGUAUGGGGGAAUGGGCCCCUUGAAGAAGUAUGUAAUAUUUACUGAUGCCAUUGGGGUCAUAAUGCUUACUGAGAUCAUUGGGGGGAAUAUUAAUCUGAGAACUGGGUCUUCAGCAAAAGAGGGAACUUGGAUCUAGAUUCCAUAUAUAAGAAUACAGGAAGAAGCCAGCCAUGAGGCAGCCCAGGAGAGUCAAAGCAAGCCUACUUAUACUCUGAUCUUGGACUUCAGCCUCCAGAAUUACAAGAACGUAGAUCUUGGUUGCCUAAGUCAUCCUGAUACAACAUCUGCUUCUGUAAGCUCUAACAAGCUAUUAGAAGGUGACACCAUGGACAUCUCAUUCGCUGUGCCCCCCAGUCAUGGCACUUCUGUUUCCAUGGGGUCAGCCUAGCCAAACAGGAAGGGAUUUCUGGCUAGAGAGCGACUGGGUGUAGGUGACACUGGGCAUGGGACCUGCUGGGCUGUCAUCGCUAGACUGGUAGGCCUUGCCCUCAGGGAACUUCUAAUCCCAUGGGGAGACAAGUACAUUGUGAGCUAAGUACCUAUGAGUCACUCAGUAAUGAAACAGACGAAUGAGACAGCAAGAGAGGUGAGAGUCCAUGGUCCAUGGUGAUGUCAUAGAGGGUUGCUUCAAAGGCUCAGCCUUGGGGCCUGUGCAUAACAAGUGUGAGGAUCUGAGUUCAAAUCCCCAGAGCCCUUAUAAAAAGCCAAGAAUGGGUAUGUGUGCCAGCAACUUCAGGGAUGAAAGGGGAAAACAAUAUAGAAAGGUACUUUGUGUCCUUGUCUGGCUUCUGCGUGUGUCUACACAAACAUGUACACGCAUACACUCUGGUGAAUGUGCCACCUCGGUACCAGGUAGCUUAUACCAUGUACACACAUACACACACACACACACACACACACACACACACACACACACACGAUGCAGAGAAACACAGGGUUUGCUCUGGCCCUGGCAACCAGAGACUGGAGGGAAGGGUACCCUAGAGGAGUUGUACACAUGUACAAAUGCUCAGAGGCAUUUAUAUUUACUAUGGAGACCAGGCCUGGAGCUAGAUCAGGGAGGCCACUGCACACAGGCUGGGUUAGGGAACCUCAGAAAGAAAACAGUUUUUUGUCAGGGUGCUGGCUCAGUGAUACUGUAGGCUAGUUGGGGGACCAUAGACAGGUCACUUAGUUUUCUGGGAUGUCAACGUUCUCUGCUGCAAAGUAGCAAUGAUCACAGCAUUUGCCUUGUAGGGGUGCUGUUAAGGGUAGGUCGGUAGCACCCUACAGUGUGGUUUGUCAUGUGGUCGGACCUACCCUGCUCUUGCUUGGCUCACUUGUCACAGCUGCUUUUCCCACUCCCCCUAGUGUGGCUGAAACAAUAACUUCAUCAACGUCUCUUAUGAGGCACGGAGGGAAGUCAGGUCAGCAGAGAAAGUCACUUGUCACCAAUUGGAAUUGAGAACUGAGAGUCUAGAGGCUCCUGGCAAACACACAAGAACUUGCCAGAAAACAUUUGGUACAGGGUUCCCGGAUGCCUGGUUCUCCACACAGAACCCUCUGAGGUUCUACAGGCUGUUCACUCAUGCAUCGGGGAAGGAACCAAAAGGAGGACCUGAAAGAAUGAUGCAUUUUUCUCAGUAAGAGUCCAAGGAGGCGGCCAGGCAGAGGGAUGUUGUCUCGGGCUCCCAGGAGAAAGGUUGCUGCAAAGGUCACCUGUCCUUGCAGAUGCUGCAUGCCAACUGAUAGAAUGUACUUGACUUGAAUUAAAGACCCCUGCCCCAUUUUAUGACCUGUAUGGUUUUUGGCAUUGGUUAAAAGAUAUAGACAAUGCCCACCCUUUCAUAAUUCAGUAUCUCCUGCCCAAACUCCAUCUGCCCUUUGAAUGUUUCCCUCACUUCCCUGACGUCAUCAUCUGUCUGGUUCUUCUUUGUCACGCCUCAGCUCAGGUGUCAUUCCUCUUGGAGCUGGAGUUAGAUGCUGCUUUGCUCUUCCCACAGCAAACUGGCUCGCACCUGCCACCUGUCACCUGGGUGAACUUGCCAAAGGUUGGCAUGUUAUCUAGACUGUCAGCUCUGUCAGGAAGGGCCAUAGCUGCCUUGUUGGUGACUGCUCAGUUUCUGGUCCAGGCACGGGAAAAUGCAGCGACACUUAAGGGAUGAGUUAGACGUGAGAGCUGAUGACUGUCACCCUCAAGUUUCCCGGCUGUCUUGAUGAUGCUUCUUAAGAUGAAUCUUCUUUAGGUUAAGUGUUGAAAAUGACUUCGUUUUCAUAGGAGCUUGUGCAUUUAUAGGUCUAAAAUGGCCCAAAUUGUACAAAUGACUUUUAUUUUAUUUUAUUCAUGUUAUUACAAAAUGGAGAUUGGUAGCAAGCAUGAAUUCUCAAUUCGGAUCAGCUGAUUUCAAUUUCAGUUCCAUCACCCUCAGAGGCUGUGUGACUCUGGGUAAAGGAUAGUAUUUUUCUAUGCCUCAGUUUCCUUGUUUUAAGAUAGAGGUAUUAAUAAGCAUGAUGGGGUUCUUGUGAUAAUGAUAUUGGUCAACAUUACAGUUUGAAGGUGAAAUGCCCCCCAUAGAUUCUUCAUGUGUUAGACUAGGUAGGUGGUCCCCAGAUGGUGGGAUGCUGGUGUCGGAGACUGUAGAACCUCUGAGACAUAGAGCCUAGCCAGAUGGGGUAAAGGGCUUAUGGGUAAUGGCCAGACCUGCAUUCUGUACGGAACCUUGGCUCCUGACUGCCACACCAGUGUAAGCCACUGUCUGUACGCCUGCUGCCUCUGCCACAAGCUUCUACUGCCACGCCUUCCCCAACAUGGUAGACUGUAUCCUCCGCACCAUGAAGCAGAAUCGAUCCUUCUUUCUGUACAUUGCUUCUGUGAGUAUUCUGUAACAGCCAAGUACAUUUAUAAAGAACUUAUUUGCAGUGGUCCCCAAACAUGUAGACACAUCACCUGGAACUUUGUUAAAUAAAUAGCCAACCCUAUAAAUGGAACCUUUGCCUCUUAGUUAUUUAACUCCAUUCUGAAGAACCAUGUUGACUCGGCCCCAACACAAGGCAAACUCAAGGCCAAAGCAUCUUUUUUAGUGUGUGCCCACCCUUGAAUGGUGUACUCUUUUAUCUUCUGUGGUAUUUUGUCUUGAAUAGUCUUGCCUUUUACAUAAUCUAAUUAUACUCCCUUUCUUGUCUGCUGAAAGGCCAUUUUAUAUGGCAGGGAGAGUAUUGGCUGAGACCUAUGGGACUUCCUUCUCAAAGUCUUAAUGUGAUGGCCUCCUGGUAACGUGGGGGAAAUUAGGAGGAGGGUAAGGAGUGGGAGGAGGAGGAGGAAGAGGAGGCUGGAAACCAUGAGUUGCUCAUGUUGGUGUUCUGCCUGCCCAUGGUUUGACCUCGGUUGGCCUGGUUUCGAAUGUUUCUGGGACACAGAGGUAGGAGUAGGUAGGUUUGACCACAAGGAAGCACUGGGUGGUGAGGGCAGGAUGUACCAUGGGCAUUUAGAAUGAAUAGUUUACAGUAAAAAUAAUCAGAGUCCCGGUCUGACUGCAUGGCCACUCCAAGGCCAAGGAGUCCUCAGAUGCCACAUAAUCCGGUCUCAAAGGGGAGCUGUGGUUUCGGAGUCUGGGUGGCUGCAGUCCAUGAUUUAAAAAGCAAAGCUGGGCAUGGGAUCUAAGAUAGGAGGCUGGUCAGGGGCCAGAAGUGAUGAUUCUGUUUGAAAUUGCAUGCAAGCAUUAAAAACAAAACAAAACAAAAAAGGUGAUAGAGGAAGAAAGAAAAACAAAAUGCUUAAAAUGUAAGAGAAACCGUCUUUGGCAAUCCUUUUCUCUAAAAAAAAAGAGGGAAGGAAAGGAAAGGAAGGAAGGAAGGAAGGAAGGAAGGAAGGAAAGAAAGAAAGAAAGAAAGAAAGAAAGAAAGAAAGAAAGAAAGAAAGAAAGGAGCUAACAUGCAAUCAGGGCCUGGUUGACUCUGAGGGCUCUUGGGUUUCAGAAUGAGUAGAUCAUUAUAGAAACAAGGUGGCCUCUGGGUGGGAUAACCUACAGGGAGAGUCACUCCCUAGAGGCCUGGCCAUGUCCUGCCUUGCAUGUGAACACUUGCAUGGCCUCAAUGGGCACAUAUGACUGCUGACUCUUAUUACAGCAUGUGUCCCUUUGAUGUGAACACUGAUGAUCGAACCUUUUACAGUGUCCUAUUGCAUAGUGCACCACAGUGCCUCCCUCAGCCAGCUGUCUACCCCACCCCCACCACCUCAGGAGGGAGAUGUGAAAAUUAGAUAACUUUUAUGGAAAGGGAGAUCACCCCCCCCUCCAAGUUUUAGGAAGGUGACCUUGCUUGUUCAAGGCCAGGAAGAGACGAAACAGUAGUGGUUGGUAUGAGGCUCUUGACAGGGUCAUGGGGAUUCUGUGUUGCCAGUUGGUUGGGAGGGUCAGACAGAAAGUAAGGACGAAGGCUUACCUGACCUUUGUUUUGUGGAAUUAUUACUAGAAACCAGAAUAUAACAUUUCUGUGCCCUGGGUGGCUGAAUUUCAAGUGGUUAAAAAGGUCUAGGAGAAAAGGAUUUGACCUGGGUAGAAUCCCCAUUCUGCUACUCACACACUGUGGGGCCAGUUCCUGACUGCUUCUGAACCUUGACUUCCUCAUCUGUAAAAUAGGAGAGUUGUCAGUCCUGUCUCUUGUGGCCUCAAUGGGCACAUAUGACUGGCGACUCUUAUUACAGCAUCUUUCUCAUCAGCUCUUCCCUCGGCAUGUUAUAUUUAUGUGGUAAGGGAAUUACCUAUUUUUGUUCCCAUUUUACAGAUUACGACACAAGGCACAAUGGAGAGGUUAUUUGCUCAGAUUCAGGAAAGCAGAACUAGAGUUAUAGCCUAGGACUUUGAAUGCCAAACCUGAGUAACUCCCAGCUGUGCUGUGCUGUGCCCUCUGCUGGCUUUCCUGCCAUUGUUGACCAACAUUGAUGCUCCAGGGUCUGAAAUGGCAGAAUCGGG